RNAcentral lists this unclassified non-coding RNA (1326 nucleotides) under Hevea brasiliensis (rubber tree). Lineage: Eukaryota; Viridiplantae; Streptophyta; Magnoliopsida; Malpighiales; Euphorbiaceae. The record is from RNAcentral.
CUUUUGAACAGUCCAGUUGAACCCUUUGUUCUGGCUCCCUCGACUCAUUCGUCGCUGCGCCUAUGCUGUUCGAUGAAAUUCUUGAAAGAACUAGUGAAGCCAUUCUGAAUUUAGCUACCUUUUAAUUGUUAAUAACUGAACUUUAUCCCUCUUUGAUAAGCUUAACGUUAUCCCUCUUUGAUAAGCUUAACGUUACAAUAUGCAACGCUUAUCAUCAAGACUCUCAAGAACCUUAUCUUUCUCAAUUGUCUCCAUUACUUCAUUAAAACAGCGAAAUUUAACUACCCGCUCUGUGAACUCAACUCUCCAAACCCUCCGGCAACAAGAACCCACCAUUCCAGGUCGCUUCCUCAAAUGGGGUUCGCUUGGUUUUGUUAGAACCUCAAGGUUUGCCACUGGGUUCACUUCGCUGCAGCCAAAGCCGCUCGAUUCGAUAAUGGAUAUUGAACGGGCCAAGGACAAGUCCCCUGAGGACCUCGCUUCCAUUUGGGAUGACUAUCACUUGGGAAGAGGUCAUAUUGGUGCGUCUGUGACAGCCAAACUUUAUCAUUUGUUGGUGCAAAGAGCAGCAGAUUGGUAAUUGUGUUGCAUAGUGUUCAUGUUGUAGACAUGUCCUCUUGCCCUAUGCAGCCGGUAUUUUGUUAUUCCUCUGUGGAGAGGAAGUGGUUAUACAACGAUAUUUGCUCAAGUACAGAUGCCACACAUCCUUUUCACUGGACUUGAAGAUUACAAGGCAAGAGGAACUCAGGCAGCACCCUACUUCACCGCCUCUUUUUAUACUGAAUUUGCAGAAACCAAGGAUUUGGUCCUUAUCGGGGGAGAUAUUGUUUUUACCAGCAAGCUCGCCGAUGAAGAGGCAAAGUGGCUUUUAGAGACUGCUCAAUCUUUUUAUUUGAAUGAUGGGAGGUACAAGCUGGUUGAACGGUUCAACAAAGAAACGCGUGAUUUUGAAUUCAAGGAUGUCUUGCGAGCACUGGAUAUGCCCAUUCUGUGAUUUCUGAUCUAAUUAAUUAUGGCUAAAUAGAAUUGGGACUAUAAAGGAGAAUGAUUUGAUGUAUUGAGAAUGUUGAAAUUUUUAUUGGGAAAAGCUGACGCACAUCUUUUUCUACAGGGAUAUAGUUAGUUGCUUUUGCAAAUUGUUCCCUGUUUGAAGAUUCGAUUAUUGAAUGCAUCUAAUAAUUGCAAAUGCGCAAGUGAAAGAAGACAAAAAAAAAGUCUCAGAGGAAAGCAUCCAUGCAGUGCAGCUCAUGAGUUUGUGAACUCUGUUUACAUUGACAAGCUAAUUUCCUAUGUUAUUACUGUCAGCACUAAAAUGUACAACUUUCG